Molecule: transfer RNA, 94 nt
Filed under: Ipomoea nil (Japanese morning glory)
Lineage: Eukaryota; Viridiplantae; Streptophyta; Magnoliopsida; Solanales; Convolvulaceae
Rfam family: tRNA
About the family: Transfer RNA (tRNA) molecules are approximately 80 nucleotides in length. Their secondary structure includes four short double-helical elements and three loops (D, anti-codon, and T loops).
Source: Rfam by way of RNAcentral
CCGACAAUAGCUCAGUUAGUAGAGCGUAGGACUGUAGUUUGAUUAAUCUAAAUUGGAAAUCCUUAGGUCGCUGGUUCGAAUCCGGCAGGUCGGA